AUGACGCGGAACCCUAUGGCACUUAGUCCUCAAACCCCGUCGCACCCCUGAUAUAGAUUCCAAGAACGUGGAUAAACCACCCUCUAUAGCACCCUAAGCUUAGCGAAGCUAGAACACUAAUAACGGAAGGAUUUUGUAGAACGGAUCAGAAGAACGCCACAAUCGAAAUUGAUAAGUUGGUCUGAUUCGUGAUACAAUCAAUGAAAGAGGCAAACUCUCACUCUCUCAAAGAAGGCCGAAAUUUGCAUAAAGCAAAUCUGAAUUAAAUUUGUCAAAACAAAAUAAAGUGUCUGAUAUAAGAAUUUAAGGCCUUAUUUAUAGUGUAAGGCAAAAACCUAAACCUAGUUGGAAAAGGAAAACAAAUACUAAGUCAGAAUUCCUAUCCCAACAGGGAAACAAGCUAAAAUAACAAAAAUAACUGCCAAGUCUUUAAAAACCAACCACAUUCUCGUAUGCCUCAAUAGUUCCAGCAGAAACCACAACCUCAGGGACGAAACCACAACCUGCUUAUGGUUCGGGCUGAUUCUCCACUAUCUUCCUCCAUGAUGUGCUCCAAAAUUAACUUCCACAAAACACAAAAGUAUCUUCGGC
Molecule: long non-coding RNA, 591 nt
Filed under: Manihot esculenta (cassava)
Lineage: Eukaryota; Viridiplantae; Streptophyta; Magnoliopsida; Malpighiales; Euphorbiaceae
Description: long non-coding RNA (MESC_LNC006488)
Source: RNAcentral